Zingiber officinale is the source of this 731-nucleotide long non-coding RNA. RefSeq lists it as uncharacterized. The transcript is spliced from 4 exons. The record is from RefSeq and is a predicted model, not a curated record. Lineage: Eukaryota; Viridiplantae; Streptophyta; Magnoliopsida; Zingiberales; Zingiberaceae.
GCUUGUUGUUUGAUGAUCUGCCAGAACUUGAGAUUUUGAGUGCUCAGUUAAAAUAAUUUUUGAAACUCCGUACUAAUGUCCUGUGGAAUUUGUAGGAGCGAUAUGUGGCAAUGGCAACAAGAAGAAGAAUGUUGCCUGCCAACAUAUUCCCAAUUUGCUUUACCUCUAUGGGAUGAUACGAUGGGAAAUCAAACUCCACUUCGAGGAUUUGGUGAUUUCGACUUAGACGAAUUGGAUUUUGGAGAUGAGGUCGAGAAGGGCGUGAAGAAGCAAAUGAGGCAUCAAGAGUGAAAAGGCGUCGUGUUCUAAAUUUUUUUCUGAUGAUGAUGGCGCCACAGCCGUCAAUGAGCAUUUGUCCUCUGAAGUAGUUUGUUCCAAGACUGUUUCUUCAGAUAGAUAAAUUAGAUUCAUCUUAAUACUUUAUUCAAAUUAGGCUAAAGCAUCCACUUGGUGCGUUUGAUUUUUUUACUUUAGGUUCAGGAGGACUCGACAUCAGCAAAAAUAUGCACACAAAAUUUACAGUCGAAUCUCAUGUGUUCAGAUACACAGUGGUAGGUGUUUUGUCCCAGUCUCAAGCCGUCAAUCCAUUUUGAUCAAUAUAUCUAGUAGAAGUAAGCAUGCAGAUCGUUGUCUUCGAGGCCGGCUAGCUAUUUUGUGCUUUUUUUUGUUUUAAAUUUGAAUGUCACUAACUACUUUGAAAUAGAAAUAUUUAGUCUUUGUGUAUAGUUGAA